GUGCCAGCAGCCGCGGUAAUACGUAGGUGGCAAGCGUUGUCCGGAAUUAUUGGGCGUAAAGGGCUCGCAGGCGGUCCCUUAAGUCUGAUGUGAAAUCUUGCGGCUUAACCGCAAGCGGUCAUUGGAAACUGGGGGACUUGAGUACAGAAGAGGAGAGUGGAAUUCCACGUGUAGCGGUGAAAUGCGUAGAGAUGUGGAGGAACACCAGUGGCGAAGGCGGCUCUCUGGUCUGUAACUGACGCUGAGGAGCGAAAGCGUGGGGAGCAAACAGGAUUAGAAACCCUUGUAGUCC
RNAcentral lists this ribosomal RNA (292 nucleotides) under uncultured Oceanobacillus sp. RNAcentral describes it as "partial 16S ribosomal RNA". It matches the Rfam family "Bacterial small subunit ribosomal RNA", at positions 505 to 796 of the family's 1533-position model. Lineage: Bacteria; Bacillati; Bacillota; Bacilli; Caryophanales; Bacillaceae. The record is from RNAcentral.